Long non-coding RNA from Odontomachus brunneus, 542 nucleotides. RefSeq lists it as uncharacterized. The record is from RefSeq and is a predicted model, not a curated record. The transcript has 2 exons. NCBI's taxonomy places the organism in Eukaryota, Metazoa, Arthropoda, Insecta, Hymenoptera, Formicidae.
CAGAUAGCAAGGUGACGUCUAAAGACGUCAUCUUGCUACCUGGGAUAUUACAUAACUGACAUUGUAAUAUGGAUGACACUUUGCGUUUACUGGUUCAUUCUGGACCAUUGAUUUUGGAUCAGUGUUCGCUGAAGGCUGAUAGCUGUGCAAAGACUUUCGUGUGAUACAAGGAGUAUCCGACUCAUGGUAUCGGUGCAAUGGAAGAUCGUAUGGAAUCGGAAAUAUCGGAACGGCUGAAUUACCUCUGUCCUUGAUUGGAAACGUCGUUGUCGCGGUCUGAAUGCAAAAUGCAAACUUAUUUAAGACAACAAUGACAAUAAAAACGACAAUAGCAAUGGUAGCAAAGCAUUGAUAUGCUCGCUGCAUUUGUAUAAAUAGCGAUAUUAACUCGGGAGUGGGCGCGUGAACGAGACGAACGUUAGUGCGCGUGUAUCGGUCAUUUCGAUCGAAAUAUAUUUAAGCAUAUAUAUGUAUAAUAAUUAAGUAAUAAUUAAUAAAUUACCAAUCCAAUUAUUAAAAGAAACAAUAAUUGAAGGAAAUAA